AAGCAAUAACAUCAUCAUCAUCAUGAAAACAUAUAUAUGAACUGUAUAACAUAAUACCUAUCAAACUUUUCGUAAUUCAAUCGUUACACAACAUAUUUUCUUGAUUCACCAGCCUACUAGUAUCCAUGGGGAUCCAUAGGGGUCCUGCUACCCGUUAAUCCUUAACACUUGAAAUCCAUUCCAGGGCCGUCCCCAUACCCCGUCCGGUAUGGGCGCCAAACCAUAGACCUCAAUACCCCGUCCGGUAUGAGGGUGAAACG
This 260-nucleotide long non-coding RNA is filed under the name Carica papaya (papaya). Its description in RNAcentral is "long non-coding RNA (CPAP_LNC003456)". The record is from RNAcentral. Lineage: Eukaryota; Viridiplantae; Streptophyta; Magnoliopsida; Brassicales; Caricaceae.